GUGGGGAAUAUUGGACAAUGGGCGAAAGCCUGAUCCAGCCAUGUCGCGUGUGUGAAGAAGGUCUUCGGAUUGUAAAGCACUUUAAGUUGGGAGGAAGGGCAGUAAGUUAAUACCUUGCUGUUUUGACGUUACCAACAGAAUAAGCACCGGCUAACUUCGUGCCAGCAGCCGCGGUAAUACGAAGGGUGCAAGCGUUAAUCGGAAUUACUGGGCGUAAAGCGCGCGUAGGUGGUUUUGUAAGUUGGAGGUGAAAUCCCCGGGCUCAACCUGGGAACUGCCUCCAAAACUGCAUGACUAGAGUACGGUAGAGGGUAGUGGAAUUUCCUGUGUAGCGGUGAAAUGCGUAGAUAUAGGAAGGAACACCAGUGGCGAAGGCGACUACCUGGACUGAUACUGACACUGAGGUGCGAAAGCGUGGGGAGCAAACAGGAUUAGAAACCCUGGUAGUCC
This 450-nucleotide ribosomal RNA is filed under the name uncultured bacterium. RNAcentral describes it as "partial 16S ribosomal RNA". It matches the Rfam family "Bacterial small subunit ribosomal RNA", at positions 354 to 796 of the family's 1533-position model. The record is from RNAcentral.